This 408-nucleotide ribosomal RNA is filed under the name uncultured bacterium. RNAcentral describes it as "bacterial SSU rRNA". It matches the Rfam family "Bacterial small subunit ribosomal RNA", at positions 354 to 777 of the family's 1533-position model. The record is from RNAcentral.
GUGGGGAAUAUUGGGCAAUGGGCGCAAGCCUGACCCAGCAACGCCGCGUGAAGGAAGAAGGCUUUCGGGUUGUAAACUUCUUUUCUCAGGGACGAAUAGAUGACGGUACCUGAGGAAUAAGCCACGGCUAACUACGUGCCAGCAGCCGCGGUAAUACGUAGGUGGCAAGCGUUAUCCGGAUUUACUGGGUGUAAAGGGCGUGUAGCCGGGCUGACAAGUCAGGUGUGAAAUUCCGAGGCUCAACCUCGGAACUGCACUUGAAACUGUUGGUCUUGAGUAUCGGAGAGGCAGGCGGAAUUCCUAGUGUAGCGGUGAAAUGCGUAGAUAUUAGGAGGAACACCAGUGGCGAAGGCGGCCUGCUGGACGACAACUGACGGUGAGGCGCGAAAGCGUGGGGAGCAAACAGGA